RNAcentral lists this ribosomal RNA (468 nucleotides) under uncultured bacterium. RNAcentral describes it as "partial 16S ribosomal RNA". It matches the Rfam family "Bacterial small subunit ribosomal RNA", at positions 28 to 507 of the family's 1533-position model. The record is from RNAcentral.
GACGAACGCUGGCGGCGUGCUUAACACAUGCAAGUCGAACGGAAAGGCCCUGCUUUUGUGGGGUGCUCGAGUGGCGAACGGGUGAGUAACACGUGAGUAACCUGCCCUUGACUUUGGGAUAACUUCAGGAAACUGGGGCUAAUACCGGAUAGGAGCUCCUGCUGCAUGGUGGGGGUUGGAAGGUUUCGGCGGUUGGGGAUGGACUCGCGGCUUAUCAGCUUGUUGGUGGGGUAGUGGCUUACCAAGGCUUUGACGGGUAGCCGGCCUGAGAGGGUGACCGGCCACAUUGGGACUGAGAUACGGCCCAGACUCCUACGGGAGGCAGCAGUGGGGAAUAUUGCACAAUGGGCGGAAGCCUGAUGCGGCAACGCCGCGUGCGGGAUGACGGCCUUCGGGUUGUAAACCGCUUUCGCCUGUGACGAAGCGUGAGUGACGGUAAUGGGUAAAGAAGCACCGGCUAACUACGUG